UGCGCUAGUAUAGCAUUAUACCGUGAACUGCGAAUGGCUCAUUAAAUCAGUUAUCGUUUAUUUGAUAAUACCUUACUACUUGGAUAACCGUGGUAAUUCUAGAGCUAAUACAUGCUAAAAAUCCCGACUUCGGAAGGGAUGUGUUUAUUAGAUAAAAAACCAAUGCCCUUCGGGGCUUCUUGGUGAUUCAUGAUAACUUUACGGAUCGCAUAGCCUUGCGCUGGCGACGGUUCAUUCAAAUUUCUGCCCUAUCAACUUUCGAUGGUAAGGUAUUGGCUUACCAUGGUUUCAACGGGUAACGGGGAAUUAGGGUUCGAUUCCGGAGAGGGAGCCUGAGAAACGGCUACCACAUCCAAGGAAGGCAGCAGGCGCGCAAAUUACCCAAUCCCGACACGGGGAGGUAGUGACAAUAAAUACUGAUACAGGGCUCUUUUGGGUCUUGUAAUUGGAAUGAGUACAAUUUAAACCUCUUAACGAGGAACAAUUGGAGGGCAAGUCUGGUGCCAGCAGCCGCGGUAAUUCCAGCUCCAAUAGCGUAUAUUAAAGUUGUUGCAGUUAAAAAGCUCGUAGUUGAAACUUGGGCCUGGCUGGCGGGUCCGCCUCACCGCGUGCACUCGUCCGGCCGGGCCUUCCUUCUGAAGAACCUCAUGCCCUUCACUGGGCGUGUUGGGGAAUCAGGACUUUUACUUUGAAAAAAUUAGAGUGUUCAAAGCAGGCCUUUGCUCGAAUACGUUAGCAUGGAAUAAUAAAAUAGGGCGUGCGUUUCUAUUUUGUUGGUUUCUAGAGACGCCGCAAUGAUUAACAGGAACAGUCGGGGGCAUCAGUAUUCAGUUGUCAGAGGUGAAAUUCUUGGAUUUACUGAAGACUAACUACUGCGAAAGCAUUUGCCAAGGAUGUUUUCAUUAAUCAGUGAACGAAAGUCAGGGGAUCGAAAGACGAUCAGAUACCGUCGUAGUCUUUGACCGUAAACUAUGCCCGACUAGGGAUCGGGCGAUGUUUCUUUUUUCUGACUC
This 1013-nucleotide ribosomal RNA is filed under the name Exserohilum rostratum. RNAcentral describes it as "SSU rRNA". It matches the Rfam family "Eukaryotic small subunit ribosomal RNA", at positions 56 to 1077 of the family's 1831-position model. The record is from RNAcentral. Lineage: Eukaryota; Fungi; Ascomycota; Dothideomycetes; Pleosporales; Pleosporaceae.